Molecule: long non-coding RNA, 764 nt
Filed under: Homo sapiens (human)
Lineage: Eukaryota; Metazoa; Chordata; Mammalia; Primates; Hominidae
Description: RBM26 antisense RNA 1
Source: RNAcentral
CGGCCUUUGUGCCUUUUUAUUCUUUGCUUACCUUUAUGAUAUAAAGACCUUAUUUCUUACAAGGAGGAAAAGACCGCUGACUUCAGAAACAGCGGGAACCCCAGCUCGUCCCCGGUAAGACGGCCGUGGCCUGUCAGCUGGAACGGUCCUGCCGGAUGGAUCGCUCUUUGAGAGCGUACACUCCCGCGUGCGCGACACCAGGCGGCCCGUAGGUUCCAGGUGCCGAGCACACUACCUCCUCAGUUUACCUAAGUGCCCUACCAGUAUCAUAUUCUGUGUAUGCUGUGAUGUGAACGAGGUUUGUAAACACAGGCUGGUCUAAUGGAGCCCAAUGAGACCGCCAGAGGAUUAGUGUCUUGUCCAACAGUACUUGACUUGCUGGUAGAGCCCUAAUGACUGAGGGCUGCCCACAAGGGAAAGGUGAGAGAACCUUCACGUCUCUCAGGUAGUUUCCAGCCUGCACUUUCCCCCAGCUAAAGAUAAGUUUUGUUAUUUUUAAAAUUCUCUUUAUUUAGAGCAAAUUCAGCCCUAUCUCAGAUCGGGAAAUUAUAUAGUAUCAAAAGAGAGAGUCUUCAUAUUAGCAACCCAAAUAAAUAAACUAUUUUCCUGGGUGAUCAAAUAAGUUUGAUUCCUGCUUGAGUUCUAUUUAGAUACUAGGUGGAAUUUUACAAAGGGUCUACGUUCCAUGAACUGUAAUGGAAUGAAAAUAUUCACAAUCUAAAGACAUUUUCACAUUCCCAGUUUACAGCUGAGGAAAUUAAGCU